UUUCCCGCGAUAUUGCGUAUCAUAGACGCUGUUGUUGAGAAUUAUAUUGAGAACUUCGAAGUAAUAUUAAGAAUUGCUUUUUACAUUUUUUUUUUUAAAUGUCAUCAGACAACGAGACGUGAUCGACCACUUUGUGAAGAAAGAACGCAGAAUGGAUUUUGUGUACAAGAAGUAUGCUGCAGUGACCCUCAGCAUCUAACGGAGGCAACGAUUAAUGAUCAAAGCCAGAAGCAUGCAAUCCAGAGACUGACGUCUUACCACGACUGCUGAAGGAACACUGUUCCAUUGUCUUGACCCGCCCUGCAGCCUCGGUGCAGAGACCCCUCCUUACGGAUCAGACUGACUCCGCUGGGGCCCGCUUGCCUGCUGCCCGCAGUAUUAACAAGAAGUGAACCUGGGUCUGCUUUGUUUGCCCCGGCGCUCAUCAGCCCCUUUCGCAGGGGAGCACAAAUCAGCACGCCGAAAUCUUGAGCACACGGAAUUCAGCAAUAAAACUAAGCAACGUGUUUAGCAGCAGCCCCUGAUUCUUAAUGGGACACUCUUUAAUGUCAUCUACAUUUCCAGCAGGGGUCUGCUGAUACUCGUAUUCAUCGGCAGGUAUUAAAUAAAUCCAUUCAUUAAUGUGUUGCACCGUUACAGCUGAGCAUCAAUCAAUGGCAAUUAACUUCUGCACUGAGUGUUUAAAAAGCCGAUUGGAAGCACAUUUUUCUCUCAUCCGGUACUAGGGCUUACAUAUGGAACCAUGGAAGGCUCUGCAAACAGUCUCUGAAUCAAACUGUGCGAUCUGUAUAUUGGAGGCAGGAUUAAGGAUGCUGACCAAUUGUGGUUAAACCCCAUUGCUGGAUGCCACUGAUUUUCAAGGUUUUCAGAUACAUUACAGCAGCUCUGUACUCACCGUAUUGGCAGCUGGGCCCGUCGAAGCCGGCUGGACAGUCACACAGCUGGGUCGAUCCUUCCACACACUGACCCCCAUUGAAGCAGACCCCUGAACUGCAGACAGCUGCACAGGAUGGAAGAGGAACACUCAGAGUGAGAUCAUAGGGUCAAACUACCCAGUGCUACCUGCUUGUGUGAUCAGAGUCCCCCAUGAUAGGAAGCAGGGUAGGGAAUUGAAAAUGAUGACACAGCUUUCCUCCAUUAACCAGUAGCAUAUAAAGCUACAUCCACAUGUCCGCUUUUGGAGCUGCCUCUUGGUUUAAUUAAUAUUUAGCUUCAUCCAACCGCUGCAUUAACACAGAAUAAAAUAAAUAACAAUCUAAAGUAAAAGGAGACAGAACUAUAUGUCUGACUUUGGAUCCAGAUAGUGACUGUACAGUCUGCCUAGUUUUACCCCUGGAGUUUGAAACAUACUAAUUUAUUUUCUUCUGAGCAGAGAUGCUGACAGCAAGCAAGGCUAAUCCAGAUUAAACACAUCACUAGACAUGAAAGAGACAUCCUAAUGGAUGGAGCAUGCUGCCUCACAGCCGCUGGGCUCACAUUACAUAUUGUUAUUAUUAUGAUUAUUAUUAAUAGGAGAAAGGCAGCAGGUAUGAUUAAUGUUAUAUGGAAAAAGAAGUGCUUCUAAAAAGAAACAAAAAAGAUAAUGUUACUGAACUAUUGAGAAACCACUUAUUUGAGCUUGUUAGUCCUUUCUCAACAUUCGGUUAAUAA
Long non-coding RNA from Acipenser ruthenus (sterlet), 1650 nucleotides. RefSeq lists it as uncharacterized. The transcript has 2 exons. NCBI's taxonomy places the organism in Eukaryota, Metazoa, Chordata, Actinopteri, Acipenseriformes, Acipenseridae. The record is from RefSeq and is a predicted model, not a curated record.